CCUACGGGAGGCAGGAGUGAGGAAUAUUGGUCAAUGGACGAGAGUCUGAACCAGCCAAGUAGCGUGAAGGAUGACUGCCCUAUGGGUUGUAAACUUCUUUUAUAUGGGAAUAAAACGUUCCACGUGUGGGAUUUUGUAUGUACCAUAUGAAUAAGGAUCGGCUAACUCCGUGCCAGCAGCCGCGGUAAUACGGAGGAUCCGAGCGUUAUCCGGAUUUAUUGGGUUUAAAGGGAGCGUAGGUGGAUUGUUAAGUCAGUUGUGAAAGUUUGCGGCUCAACCGUAAAAUUGCAGUUGAAACUGGCAGUCUUGAGUACAGUAGAGGUGGGCGGAAUUCGUGGUGUAGCGGUGAAAUGCUUAGAUAUCACGAAGAACUCCGAUUGCGAAGGCAGUUCACUGGACUGCAACUGACACUGAGGCUCGAAAGUGUGGGUAUCAAACAGGAUUAGAUACCCUUGUAGUC
This 460-nucleotide ribosomal RNA is filed under the name uncultured bacterium. RNAcentral describes it as "partial 16S ribosomal RNA". It matches the Rfam family "Bacterial small subunit ribosomal RNA", at positions 338 to 795 of the family's 1533-position model. The record is from RNAcentral.